RNAcentral lists this ribosomal RNA (497 nucleotides) under uncultured bacterium. RNAcentral describes it as "partial 16S ribosomal RNA". It matches the Rfam family "Bacterial small subunit ribosomal RNA", at positions 28 to 507 of the family's 1533-position model. The record is from RNAcentral.
GAUGAACGCUGGCGGCGUGCCUAAUACAUGCAAGUCGAGCGAACAGACGAGGAGCUUGCUCCUCUGACGUUAGCGGCGGACGGGUGAGUAACACGUGGAUAACCUACCUAUAAGACUGGGAUAACUUCGGGAAACCGGAGCUAAUACCGGAUAACAUGUUGAACCGCAUGGUUCAACAGUGAAAGACGGUCUUGCUGUCACUUAUAGAUGGAUCCGCGCCGCAUUAGCUAGUUGGUAAGGUAACGGCUUACCAAGGCAACGAUGCGUAGCCGACCUGAGAGGGUGAUCGGCCACACUGGAACUGAGACACGGUCCAGACUCCUACGGGAGGCAGCAGUAGGAAAUCUUACGCAAUGGGCGAAAGCCUGACGGAGCAACGCCGCGUGAGUGAAGAAGGUCUUCGGAUCGUAAAACUCUGUUAUUAGGGAAGAACAAAUGUGUAAGUAACUAUGCACGUCUUGACGGUACCUAAUCAGAAAGCCACGGCUAACUACGUG